GCUGAGCAGCCCCGGAGGCUCAGUGAGCAUGGGGAGGGGCUAGACGCGGGAGAAACAACCAUUAGAGAGUUGGGGCCGGGAAGCUCGGGACUCUAUUUCCCAGAGGGCGUAGCGGCUGCGACCGGACGCGGCGCGCCUGAGGCCCAGUGCGCAGGCGCUUGCUUUGCCUUGGUCUAUAUAAGGAAGGU
RNAcentral lists this long non-coding RNA (188 nucleotides) under Microtus ochrogaster (prairie vole). Its description in RNAcentral is "ZNFX1 antisense RNA 1 conserved region 1 (ENSMOCG00000003752.1)". It matches the Rfam family "ZNFX1 antisense RNA 1 conserved region 1". Lineage: Eukaryota; Metazoa; Chordata; Mammalia; Rodentia; Cricetidae. The record is from RNAcentral.